GAUGAACGCUGGCGGCGUGCCUAAUACAUGCAAGUCGAGCGAACGGACGAGAAGCUUGCUUCUCUGAUUUUAGCGGCGGACGGGUGAUUAACACGUGGAUAACCUACCUAUAAGACUGGGAUAACUUCGGGAAACCGGAGCUAAUACCGGAUAAUAUUUUGAACCGCAUGGUUCAAAAGUGAAAGACGGUCUUGCUGUCACUUAUAGAUGGAUCAGCGCUGCAUGAGCUAGUUGGUAAGGUAACGGCUUACCAAGGCAACGAUGCAUAGCCGACCUGAGAGGGUGAUCGGCCAGACUGGAAGUGAGACACGGUCCAGACUCCUACGGGAGGAAGCAGUAGGGAAUCUUCCGCAAGGGGCGAGAGCGUGACGGAGCAACGCCGCGUGAGUGCUGAAGGUCUUCGGAUCGUAAAGCUCUGUUAUUAGGGAAGAACAUAUGUGUAAGUAACUGUGCACAUAUUGACGGUACCUAAUCAGAAAGCCAUGGCUAACUACGUG
This 497-nucleotide ribosomal RNA is filed under the name uncultured bacterium. RNAcentral describes it as "partial 16S ribosomal RNA". It matches the Rfam family "Bacterial small subunit ribosomal RNA", at positions 28 to 507 of the family's 1533-position model. The record is from RNAcentral.